AUUGGUGCCCCCUAGUGGCCAAUUCAGUGAGCUCCGACUCGGUGCCCCCUAGUGGCCAGGAGUUCCCCAGGCCCCAGCUGGGUGCCCCCUAGUGGCCCAUUCAUUGAGCUCCGGCUCGGUGCCCCCUAGUGGCCAGGAGUUCCCCAGGCCCCAGCUGGGUGCCCCCUAGUGGCCCAUUCAGUGAGCUCCGGCUCGGUGCCCCCUAGUGGCCAGGAGUUCCCCAGGCCCCAGCUUGGUGCCCCCUAGUGGCCCAUUCAUUGAGCUCCGGCUCAGUGCCCCCUAGUGGCCAGGAGUUCCCCAGGCCCCAGCUGGGUGCCCCCUAGUGGCCCUUUCAGUGAGGUCCGGCUUGGUGCCCCCUAGUAGCCGAUUCAGUGAGCUCCGGCUCGGUGCCAUCUAGUGGCCAGGAGUUCCCCAGGCCCCAGCUCGGUGCCCCCUAGUGGCCCAUUCAUUGAGCUCCGGAUCGGUGCCCCCUAGUGGCCCAUUCAGUGAGCUCUGGAUCGGUGCCCCCUAGUGGCCAGGAGUCCCACAGGCGCCGAACGC
Molecule: long non-coding RNA, 540 nt
Organism: Gopherus flavomarginatus (Mexican gopher tortoise)
Lineage: Eukaryota; Metazoa; Chordata; Testudines; Testudinidae
Exons: 5
Source: RefSeq, a predicted model, not a curated record